GAUGAACGCUGGCGGCGUGCCUAAUACAUGCAAGUCGAGCGAACGGACGAGAAGCUUGCUUCUCUGAUGUUAGCGGCGGACGGGUGAGUAACACGUGGAUAACCUACCUAUAAGACUGGGAUAACUUCGGGAAACCGGGGCUAAUACCGGAUAAUACUUUGAACCGCAUGGUUCAAAAGUGAAAGACGGUCUUGCUGUCACUUAUAGAUGGAUCCGCGCUGCAUUAGCUAGUUGGUAAGGUAACGGCUUACCAAGGCAACGAUGCAUAGCCGACCUGAGAGGGUGAUCGGCCACACUGGAACUGAGACACGGUCCAGACUCCUACGGGAGGCAGCAGUAGGGAAUCUUCCGCAAUGGGCGAAAGCCUGACGGAGCAACGCCGCGUGAGUGAUGAAGGUCUUCGGAUCGUAAAACUCUGUUAUUAGGGAAGAACAUAUGUGUAAGUAACUGUGCACAUCUUGACGGUACCUAAUCAGAAAGCCACGGCUAACUACGUG
This 497-nucleotide ribosomal RNA is filed under the name uncultured bacterium. RNAcentral's name for it is "partial 16S ribosomal RNA". It matches the Rfam family "Bacterial small subunit ribosomal RNA", at positions 28 to 507 of the family's 1533-position model. The record is from RNAcentral.